GAUGAACGCUGGCGGCGUGCCUAAUACAUGCAAGUCGAGCGAACAGACGAGAAGCUUGCUCCUCUGAUGUUAGCGGCGGACGGGUGAGUAACACGUGGAUAACCUACCUAUAAGACUGGGAUAACUUCGGGAAACCGGAGCUAAUACCGGAUAAUAUAUUGAACCGCAUGGUUCAAUAGUGAAAGACGGUUUUGCUGUCACUUAUAGAUGGAUCCGCGCCGCAUUAGCUAGUUGGUAAGGUAACGGCUUACCAAGGCAACGAUGCGUAGCCGACCUGAGAGGGUGAUCGGCCACACUGGAACUGAGACACGGUCCAGACUCCUACGGGAGGCAGCAGUAGGGAAUCUUCCGCAAUGGGCGAAAGCCUGACGGAGCAACGCCGCGUGAGUGAUGAAGGUCUUCGGAUCGUAAAACUCUGUUAUUAGGGAAGAACAAAUGUGUAAGUAACUAUGCACGUCUUGACGGUACCUAAUCAGAAAGCCACGGCUAACUACGUG
Molecule: ribosomal RNA, 497 nt
Filed under: uncultured bacterium
Lineage: Bacteria
Description: partial 16S ribosomal RNA
Rfam family: Bacterial small subunit ribosomal RNA
Source: RNAcentral